CAUGCAAGUCGAACGGAAACGAUACUAGCUUGCUAGUAGGCGUCGAGUGGCGGACGGGUGAGUAACGCGUAGGAAUCUGCCUGAUAGUGGGGGAUAGCCCGAAGAAAUUCGGAUUAAUACCGCAUAAUCUAUUCGUAGUAAAGUGGGGGACUUUCGAGCCUCACGCUAUCAGAUGAGCCUGCGUAAGAUUAGCUUGUUGGUAGGGUAAAAGCCUACCAAGGCGACGAUCUUUAGCUGGUCUGAGAGGAUGAUCAGCCACAUCGGGACUGAGACACGGCCCGAACUCCUACGGGAGGCAGCAGUGGGGAAUAUUGGACAAUGGGGGCAACCCUGAUCCAGCAAUACCGCGUGUGUGAAGAAGGCCUGAGGGUUGUAAAGCACUUUCAAUUGUGAAGAAAAGUUAACGGUUAAUAACCGUUAGCCUUGACGUUAACUUUAGAAGAAGCACCGGCUAACUCCGUGCCAGCAGCCGCGGUAAUACGGAGGGUGCAAGCGUUAAUCGGAAUUACUGGGCGUAAAGCGUGCGUAGGUGGUUUAUUAAGUCAGAUGUGAAAGCCCCGGGCUUAACCUGGGAACUGCAUUUGAAACUGGUAAACUAGAGUAUGGUAGAGGAAAGUGGAAUUUCUGGUGUAGCGGUGAAAUGCGUAGAUAUCAGAAGGAACAUCAAUGGCGAAGGCAGCUUUCUGGACCAAUACUGACACUGAGGUACGAAAGCGUGGGUAGCAAACAGGAUUAGAUACCCUGGUAGUCCACGCCGUAAACGAUGAUAACUAGCCGUUGGGGGGAUUUACCCUUUAGUGGCGAAGCUACGCGUUAAGUUAUCCGCCUGGGGAGUACGGCCGCAAGGUUAAAACUCAAAGGAAUUGACGGGACCCGCACAAGCGGUGGAGCAUGUGGUUUAAUUCGAUGCAACGCGAAGAACCUUACCUGGUCUUGACAUCCUGCGAACUUUCUAGAAAAUAGAUGGUG
Molecule: ribosomal RNA, 969 nt
Filed under: uncultured bacterium
Lineage: Bacteria
Description: bacterial SSU rRNA
Rfam family: Bacterial small subunit ribosomal RNA
Source: RNAcentral